GAUGGAGAAAAGGAUUAGCCUACCUGAGAAGCAUGAUGGCGGCAGCCUAUGUUAAGAGAUUACGGAAUUGUCAACACUUCAAUGAUUUCAAAGCUUGCAGUUUGUUCUGUGGAGACGAUUCAAUUUUUUAAUUCCUCGAAUGUCCUUUUUGUCUAUAGGAUGCCCUCAUGGUCUCAUAUGUCUCUCUGUGUGCAAAGAUAACACUUUAAAGGCGAGUCGCAUGAAUGCAAGAUAAAACUGCGUUGGUUAUGUUCAAACUUUUCGUGUCUAAAUUGUGCUUUAUUUCCUGCAAACUGGCACCUUACUAUACAUGAUAAUAUCUAAAAUAACAGGCAGCUGUAUGAUCUUAUUCUACUACUGCCUAACUUUGUGAUACAUGAUAAUUAAGCAGAUGUGACUUCUCUAAUAUGCAUGUGCUAUACAUAAGAAAAUCAAGAUAAAAAAUCUUUGAUAUGGGAUGAAAUCGAGAUGCAUAGAAAAUCACAUAUAAUGGGUGCUUGCGUGUGGUCUAAGUAGUACAGAGCGAGAAGAUAAUUGGGAGCCUAUGUCCAUUCAUGCAUACCUGCUUGCAUACAUGUGUACUGCCUUGUUAGAUUACUAUAUACGCACCACGUCGACAGAGCUUGUUGGCAUGUUCUGCAUAGAUGACGAUACGCAAGAAGGUAAUGGAUCUGAAAAUAAUGCAAAUAAUAAGGAAUCAAGAAUGUCUAGUGUAGAUUAGUCUUGAACUCUCGAUGGGCAUCAACCAAGUAAUGAACCACAUGGCAGACUGUUGUAGCAAAUAUCCAAGUUCUGUAGGCCGGUGGGACAACCUGAUUUGUGUGAGGAACUGAAGAUGGACCAAACAAACAACAAGUAUAAGAAGGUAUUAAGGCAAGGGAGUGACAUGGAGUUCAGAUGAGAUCUGUACCAUUGUGGUAGUGGUGGCUGGUGGUAAAAAGAGGAGAUGCUAUGGAUGAUAGGCAGUAGCACCAAAAUCUGAAUCAACCCAUCUAGAAUUUUCAGUGUGUAGUUGUGUGCAAACCUUGACAAAUGAUGUCCAGCUAGGCUUUGUUUGGCUGCACCUGUGCAGAGUUGUGGGCA
RNAcentral lists this long non-coding RNA (1083 nucleotides) under Triticum aestivum (bread wheat). Its description in RNAcentral is "long non-coding RNA (TAES_LNC027641)". The record is from RNAcentral. Lineage: Eukaryota; Viridiplantae; Streptophyta; Magnoliopsida; Poales; Poaceae.